Molecule: long non-coding RNA, 658 nt
Filed under: Serinus canaria (Common canary)
Lineage: Eukaryota; Metazoa; Chordata; Aves; Passeriformes; Fringillidae
Description: lncRNA (ENSSCAG00000010941.1)
Source: RNAcentral
GGGUAAACUCAUUUUCUGUUGAAGCAUUGCUGUUUUAUACACUAGAUCAGGGACUGAAACCCAAGCAACAAAUAGUUGUGUGAAUAACUUUUCUAGAACCAGAAUUCAUAUUACUGAGUCAGGAACAUAGAUCAACCCUGCCCUAUGCAUUACUGGGGCUGGCUCCUCAGCCUCCUCCCUCUUGCAGACCAGCCACAAGACCAAUAUUGAUACUGCCCUGCAGAAACAAAACUCAUUAGUUUAGACUUGAUUGCUCAUUUGCAUUCAUUGUGAUCAUGCCUUAUCUUCCAAAUUGGAAACCACUAGUCUAAGGUUUACAGCAUGCAUCUGGAGGAUGACCAAAAGUUGAGUUUCCCUGCUGGUAGAAGACAGGAUGGUGCUGGAGGCUCAACCCUACUUUACUUGGAGAACAGCUUGGAGGAGUCCAGAGUUGCUGGCUGGCCUAUGGAGCAGAUCAACUUGACACUACGGAGCGCUGGCACCGAUGACAUCUUUCUACAUGGAAGCUCUUCAUCACCAAGGUGGAGAAAUGGUAGCAAGGAGUGUUCUGAUCCAGGCAGUUCACCACGGCUUUGGAGAAGGCCACUGAAGUGAGCAAUUGUAGAUGGCCCUGAGUGUGCAUAAGCCCCAGACCACUCAGUUUUUGGUGACACUCAAU